Molecule: ribosomal RNA, 474 nt
Filed under: Triticum aestivum (bread wheat)
Lineage: Eukaryota; Viridiplantae; Streptophyta; Magnoliopsida; Poales; Poaceae
Description: partial small subunit ribosomal RNA
Source: RNAcentral
AUGCCUCGUCCCCACGAGGCCACAACACCAAAGACGCUACCCAGCAAGCAAAGGUUGAAGAUUGUCCGAGAGUUGAUCUACAAGAGAGGUUAUGGAAAGCUAAACAAGCAAACGAUUCCUCUGGCCAACAACAAAGUCAUCGAGCAGGGCCUGGGUGCGGGCGAAGAUGACAUUGCGAUUCUCGCCUGCCUGCUUCUUCUCGGUGACAACCUUCUCCUUCUUCUCGAAGUCAAUAGCCGCAGGCUUCUUGAAGUAGGUUAUUCUGGGUUGAGAAUGCGGGCAGAGAGGUUAUGGAAAGCUAAAAAAGCAAAGGAUUCCUCUGGCUCGGUGCUAGCAGGCGCGUGUGGUCAAGGCCGCAUUGGAGAUAACAUGCACACAGGGGCCGAUGCCUCGUCCCCACGAGGCCACAACACCGAAGACGCUACCCAGCGAUGGGUUCAUGAAGACGUGCGCCUGCCAGCACCUAGCGAUUGA